This 263-nucleotide ribosomal RNA is filed under the name uncultured Aerococcus sp. RNAcentral's name for it is "partial 16S ribosomal RNA". It matches the Rfam family "Bacterial small subunit ribosomal RNA", at positions 99 to 354 of the family's 1533-position model. The record is from RNAcentral. Lineage: Bacteria; Bacillati; Bacillota; Bacilli; Lactobacillales; Aerococcaceae.
CGGACGGGUGAGUAACACGUAAGGAACCUACCGAUAAGCGGGGGACAACAUCCGGGAACGGGUGCUAAUACCGCAUAGGAAGUUUGUUCGCAUGAACAAACUUAGAAAGAUGGCUCUGCUAUCACUUAUCGAUGGCCUUGCGGUGCAUUAACUAGUUGGAGAGGUAACGGCUCACCAAGGUGAUGAUGCAUAGCCGACCUGAGAGGGUAAUCGGCCACAUUGGGACUGAGACACGGCCCAAACUCCUACGGGAGGCAGCAGGC